Oncorhynchus mykiss (rainbow trout) is the source of this 2105-nucleotide RNA transcript. RefSeq lists it as uncharacterized. Lineage: Eukaryota; Metazoa; Chordata; Actinopteri; Salmoniformes; Salmonidae. The record is from RefSeq and is a predicted model, not a curated record.
UGGACAGGAUGGAGCUUCAGUCUGGACAGGAUGGAGUUUCAGUCUGGACAGGAUGGAGUUUCAGUCUGGACAGGAUGGAGUUUCAGUCUGGACAGGAUGGAGUUUUAGUCUGGACAGGAUGGAGCCUAACUGUGGAAAAACAGAAACUGACUGAUACACACAUUACAAUGACAAAUCAAUGACCAGAUUGUCAACCAGCUCCAGCUACUCAGCAUCACUCUGACUAUUUGUGCUGGUUGUCUUCUGUCUCAGCUGAAGGGAGGACAUUGUGUUUUAAAGUCUUUUCUUUCUGUCCUGAAGUAGGCCUACCUGCUUAAUACACACAGACUUUCAUAUAGGUAAAGCAAAGGCAUGCUAUGACUUAACUCUACCUUCAUAUAUUGGGCUGCCUUUAUCCCAAUAGUUUCACAGUUUAAAAACGUGUGUUUUCAAAUGACUGUAUGCUACAUUGAUCUUUGGAUCACACUUGGAAUGUGAAAGGUUUCCUAGUGUUAGUUUUAGGUCUCCCUGAAGUCCGUAGACUUCCACUCUAUUAGUUACCCUAGAACACAGUCAACGAGCCUAACGGAGAUGUGUAUUCAUUAGGGAUAUACUGUAGCUAAAUGUUUAAUGGAGGGCUACGCUAGCGUUUCUUGGACCAAUUCAGAAAUUGGUACACAAGAAGGAGUAGCACUAGUCUUUUUAGGAUUAAGUGAAAAUAGGGAGACAAUGUAUUUAUAUUAAGGGUUUAGUCUUUGAAUGGUGGAUUUGUGCAGAUUCCCUUGGCCUUCCUUCCUGUUUAACUCUUGAUGUCUGGUCUUGCUGUAGAGACUGAACACAGCAGGAUUAUUGUUAGACUUUUUUUUGUUUUCUUAACUAUUUUACGACGUAUUCAUUGACGAAACGAACUCCACUACAAAUACAAGCCUCUAUAGAAGAACCUCUGAUCCUUUUUUAGUUAGAAAUAAAAAGACAAAGAUGUUUUAUUUUCUAAGAGUAUGUAGCAUUAGUGAAAUAACCUACUAUGAUGGAUCAUAUUUUUAAUUUUUUAUCAGUGGGCUAUUUUGUUUUUUUUUGUUCCUUUUUUUGUGGAAAGAUUUAGAGACUGUAUCCAGACCUGUCUUACUCUUACCAAUAUGUUCCUUUUUUGUGGAAAGAUUUAGAGACUGUAUCCAGACCUGCCUUACUCUUACCAAUAUGUUCCUUUUUUGUGGAAAGAUUUAGAGACUGUAUCCAGACCUGCCUUACUGUUACCCACAUGUUCCUUUUUUUGUGGAAAGAUUUAGAGACUGCAUCCAGACCUGCCUUACUGUUACCAAUAUGUUCCUUUUUUUGUGGAAAGAUUUAGAGACUGUAUCCAGACCUGUCUUACUCUUACCAAUAUGUUCCUUUUUUGAACAGGGAGUUAUUCUACCAUGAACUAAGAUUCUUUUUACGUAUUUUUUUUUAUUUUUUAAAGGAUACUUCCUCUGACAUUCUUAGAGCUGUCAUUUUAUUGUGAGGAACUGCAGUUCGAUCGGAAUAGUUGUUCUGUUUUUGUCCUCUGUUUUGUGAGUGACCCUCUCACUCAGUCAACUCGUCUCAGUGCACAAGUCUCCCCUUCUCCAGACACCGCGUAUGAAUCAGAAUCCGUAGCUAGUUGUGACACGUGAGCCUCUGGAUGAAAAGCAGAGUAUCCCUAAAGCAGCGUGGUCGUAUCAGCCCCCCAUGUUGGACUAAACUCUACACAAGUGAAAACCCCAAAUCCCUAAAGAUCCUCUAUUUGCCAAACUAGAGGGACAUGAAGUCUGACUCCUUCCUCAACAUUUGGACCUGCCCUGAGGAUGUUGGACACCACUGUUACACCUUCAGCCUUGUUGAUUUCCUGUCAGACUGGUCGUUUUUCAACUCCAUUCCACGGACGGACUGACCUGAAAUUUUACCAGAACAGGAACACAAUGUUCAACAGACUCUCUCCUCACCAGUGGGACUGACUACUGAGACUGGUCGUCUUUGAACUCAAGAGGAACACAAUGUUCAUCAGACUCUACUCAGACUGGUCGUCUUUGAACUCAAGAGGAACACAAUGUUCAUCAGACUCUACUCAGACUGGUCGUCUUUGAACUCAAGAGGAACACAAUGUUCAU